This 1076-nucleotide ribosomal RNA is filed under the name Meyerozyma caribbica. Its description in RNAcentral is "SSU rRNA". It matches the Rfam family "Eukaryotic small subunit ribosomal RNA", at positions 37 to 1123 of the family's 1831-position model. Lineage: Eukaryota; Fungi; Ascomycota; Pichiomycetes; Serinales; Debaryomycetaceae. The record is from RNAcentral.
UCAAAGAUUAAGCCAUGCUGUCUAAGUAUAAGCAAUUUAUACAGUGAAACUGCGAAUGGCUCAUUAAAUCAGUUAUCGUUUAUUUGAUAGUACCUUUACUACUUGGAUAACCGUGGUAAUUCUAGAGCUAAUACAUGCUAAAAAUCCCGACUGUUUGGAAGGGAUGUAUUUAUUAGAUAAAAAAUCAAUGCUCUUUGAGCUCUUUGAUGAUUCAUAAUAACUUUUCGAAUCGCAUGGCCUUGUGCUGGCGAUGGUUCAUUCAAAUUUCUGCCCUAUCAACUUUCGAUGGUAGGAUAGUGGCCUACCAUGGUUUCAACGGGUAACGGGGAAUAAGGGUUCGAUUCCGGAGAGGGAGCCUGAGAAACGGCUACCACAUCCAAGGAAGGCAGCAGGCGCGCAAAUUACCCAAUCCCGACACGGGGAGGUAGUGACAAUACAUAACGAUACAGGGCCCUUUCGGGUCUUGUAAUUGGAAUGAGUACAAUGUAAAUACCUUAACGAGGAACAAUUGGAGGGCAAGUCUGGUGCCAGCAGCCGCGGUAAUUCCAGCUCCAAUAGCGUAUAUUAAAGUUGUUGCAGUUAAAAAGCUCGUAGUUGAACUUUGGGCUUGGUUGGCCGGUCCGCCUUUUUGGCGAGUACUGGACCCAACCGAGCCUUUCCUUCUGGCUAACCAUUCGCCCUUGUGGUGUUUGGCGAACCAGGACUUUUACUUUGAAAAAAUUAGAGUGUUCAAAGCAGGCCUUUGCUCGAAUAUAUUAGCAUGGAAUAAUAGAAUAGGACGUUAUGGUUUUAUUUUGUUGGUUUCUAGGACCAUCGUAAUGAUUAAUAGGGACGGUCGGGGGCAUCAGUAUUCAGUUGUCAGAGGUGAAAUUUUUAGAUUUACUGAAGACUAACUACUGCGAAAGCAUUUGCCAAGGACGUUUUCAUUAAUCAAGAACGAAAGUUAGGGGAUCGAAGAUGAUCAGAUACCGUCGUAGUUUUAACCAUAAACUAUGCCGACUAGGGAUCGGGUGUUGUUCUUUUUUUGACGCACUCGGCACCUUACGAGAAAUCAAAGUCUUUGGGUUCUGGGGGAG